GAGGGGGGUUUAACCAGCAGGAACUGCUAACCCUUGCAUCUGAGUAUAAAACCUCAGCCCCCUUA
This 65-nucleotide transfer RNA is filed under the name Garrulax cineraceus (moustached laughingthrush). RNAcentral describes it as "tRNA-Ser". Lineage: Eukaryota; Metazoa; Chordata; Aves; Passeriformes; Leiothrichidae. The record is from RNAcentral.